GCUCAGGAUGAACGUUGGCGGUGUGCCUAAUACAUGCAAGUCGAACGGUGACGAUUUUGUAGCAAUACGAAUGAAAUCAUAGUGGCGAACGGGUGAGUAACGCGUUGGUGAUCUGCCUCGAAGUGUGGAAUAACUUCCCGAAAGGGUAGCUAAUACCGCAUAGUCUCUCAAGGUUUAGAAAAUUGAGAGUAAAGGAUUUAUUCGCUUCGAGAGGAGCCUGCGUCCCAUCAGCUAGUUGGUAGGGUAAUAGCCUACCAAGGCAAUGACGGGUAGGGGACCUGAGAGGGUGGCCCCCCACAAUGGAACUGAAACACGGUCCAUACACCUACGGGUGGCAGCAGUAGGGAAUAUUAGAAAUGGGCGAAAGCCUGAUCUAGCAACACCGCGUGUGCGAUGAAGGCCUUCGGGUUGUAAAGCACUUUUUGGAGGGAAUAGGAAGGAAGGUACCUCCAGAAUAAGUCUCGGCUAACUACGUGCCAGCAGCCGCGGUAACACGUAGGAGGCAAACGUUAUCCGGAUUCACUGGGCGUAAAGCGCGUGUAGGUGGUUCUGUAAGUAGGGCGUGAAAGCUCCCGGCUCAACCGGGAGAGGCCGUACUAAACUGCAGAGCUAGAGGAUGGUAGAGGGAGGUGGAAUUCCAGGUGUAGUGGUGAAAUGCGCAGAUAUCUGGAGGAACACCAGUGGCGAAGGCGGCCUCCUGGACCAUUCCUGACACUCAGACGCGAAAGCUAGGGUAGCAAAACGGAAUUAGAGACUCCGGUAGUCCUAGCCCUAAACGAUGCAGACUAGGCGUCGGCGGUUUAAUCACCGUCGGUGUCCAAGCUAACGCGAUAAGUCUGCCGCCUGAGGACUACGGCCGCAAGGCUAAAACUCAAAGGAAUUGACGGGUCCCCGCACAAGCAGCGGAGCGUGUGGUUUAAUUCGAUGCUCCGCGAAGAACCUUACCUGGGUUUGACAUAACAGUGGUAGAGAAGUGAAAACGGAUCGACCCUUCGGGGAGCUGUUACAGGUGUUGCAUGCCUGUCGUCAGCUCGUGUCGUGAGAUGUUCGGUUAAGUCCGCUAACGAGCGCAACCCGCGCUGUGUGUUACAAGUGUCACACAGUACCGCCGGUAUUAAGUCGGAGGAAGGUGCGGAUGACGUCAAGUCAGCAUGACCUUUAUAUCCAGGGCUACACACACGCUACAAUGGUCAGAACAAUAGGUUGCCAAGCCGCAAGGCGGAGCCAAUCCUCCAAAUCUGGCCUCAGUUCAGAUUGCAGGCUGCAACUCGCCUGCAUGAAGUCGGAGUUGCUAGUAACCGCAGGUCAGCAUACUGCGGUGAAUAAGUUCCCGGGGAUUGUACACACCGCCCGUCAAG
RNAcentral lists this ribosomal RNA (1358 nucleotides) under uncultured bacterium. RNAcentral's name for it is "bacterial SSU rRNA". It matches the Rfam family "Bacterial small subunit ribosomal RNA". The record is from RNAcentral.